Molecule: ribosomal RNA, 492 nt
Filed under: uncultured bacterium
Lineage: Bacteria
Description: partial 16S ribosomal RNA
Rfam family: Bacterial small subunit ribosomal RNA
Source: RNAcentral
AGUGAACGCUGGCGGUAGGCCUAACACAUGCCAGUCGAACGGCAGCACAGUAAGAGCUUGCUCUUACGGGUGGCGAGUGGCGGACGGGUGAGGAAUACAUCGGAAUCUACUUUUUCGUGGGGGAUAACGUAGGGAAACUUACGCUAAUACCGCAUACGACCUACGGGUGAAAGCAGGGGAUCUUCGGACCUUGCGCGAUUGAAUGAGCCGAUGUCGGAUUAGCUAGUUGGCGGGGUAAAGGCCCACCAAGGCGACGAUCCGUAGCUGGUCUGAGAGGAUGAUCAGCCACACUGGAACUGAGACACGGUCCAGACUCCGACGGGAGGCAGCAGUGGGGAAUAUUGGACAAUGGGCGCAAGCCUGAUCCAGCCAUACCGCGUGGGUGAAGAAGGCCUUCGGGUUGUAAAGCCCUUUUGUUGGGAAAGAAAAGCAGCAGGUUAAUACCCCGCUAUUCUGACGGUACCCAAAGAAUAAGCACCGGCUAACUUCGUG